UCAUGGAUUCAACCAACUAUGCAUUGAAAAUAUUUGGGUUUUGUUUUGCAUGGAUUAUUGAAUGAUGACUACACACAUAUGUAUUUAUUCUCAUCACCAAGCACACCCUACAGGCACAGACAUUAAUUUUUAUGGACAUUGUUUCCUGUCAGAAAUUUAAUGCCUGAAAAGUUGAAGAUCUAUGUGAACUUUACUAUAAUCCAAGAGCACAUAACAGACUGUGGAUUUGGCAUAUCUCAAACAGUACCACUGCUUUGUGGCUUCAUCUUUAUUUGUUUCCAAAUAGAAGUCUGAGGCAAGGGGAAAGGAAGGAGGUGUCAGUAACAUCUGCUGGUUGGACCAGUUUUGUGGGCCCAAGGCAUGGAUCUGGGGACUGGACUCC
Long non-coding RNA from Galeopterus variegatus (Sunda flying lemur), 382 nucleotides. RefSeq lists it as uncharacterized. The transcript has 4 exons. NCBI's taxonomy places the organism in Eukaryota, Metazoa, Chordata, Mammalia, Dermoptera, Cynocephalidae. The record is from RefSeq and is a predicted model, not a curated record.